Molecule: ribosomal RNA, 279 nt
Filed under: uncultured bacterium
Lineage: Bacteria
Description: partial 16S ribosomal RNA
Rfam family: Bacterial small subunit ribosomal RNA
Source: RNAcentral
UGCCAGCAGCCGCGGUAAUACGGGGGGGGCAAGCGUUGUUCGGAAUUACUGGGCGUAAAGGGCGCGCAGGCGGGCGAGAUAGUCUUUCGUGAAAGCCCACGGCUCAACCGUGGAAUUGCGGGAGAUACUUCUCGUCUUGAGUCCGGGAGAGGAAAGUGGAAUUCCGAGUGUAGGGGUGAAAUCCGUAGAUAUUCGGAGGAACACCAGUGGCGAAGGCGGCUUUCUGGACCGAUACUGACGCUGAGACGCGAAAGCGUGGGGAGCAAACAGGAUUAGAUA